ACUGCCCCUAGAGGCACAGCAAGUGUGGCAACUGUGUCACAAGGACAUCAAUAGGUAGCAGGGAGGAAAGAGGCUACAGUCUAUGCUCAGUGUUCUGACCUGAGAACAUCUGAAUGCUCAUAGCCUAACAUU
Grammomys surdaster is the source of this 132-nucleotide small nucleolar RNA. RefSeq annotates it as small nucleolar RNA SNORA17. The record is from RefSeq and is a predicted model, not a curated record. NCBI's taxonomy places the organism in Eukaryota, Metazoa, Chordata, Mammalia, Rodentia, Muridae. The transcript has a single exon.